RNAcentral lists this ribosomal RNA (345 nucleotides) under Dikerogammarus haemobaphes. Its description in RNAcentral is "partial 16S ribosomal RNA". Lineage: Eukaryota; Metazoa; Arthropoda; Malacostraca; Amphipoda; Gammaridae. The record is from RNAcentral.
GCGGUAUUUUGACCGUGCUAAGGUAGCAUAAUCAAUUGUUUUUUAAUUGAAAACUAGUAUGAACGGUUUAAUUUACUUAAUUAGUUUGUAAUUUUUAAUAGUAAGUUAAAUAUAAAGUAAGAAUUCUUUAAUAAAUUAGGGGACGAUAAGACCCUAAAAGCUUUAUGAUUGGCAUUUAAUUAGUGAUAGCGGUGUUAUUAAUUCACUGGGGCAGUGAGUUUAGGUAUAUUUAAGUAUAAUUAAAAGCUCCUUUAAAUAAAGAUUUCAUGUAUAAGUUACUUUAGGGAUAACAGUGCAAUAUAUUUGGGGAGACCAUAUCUAUAAAUAUGAUUGCAACCUCGAUGU